RNAcentral lists this unclassified non-coding RNA (337 nucleotides) under soil metagenome. RNAcentral's name for it is "partial contains 5.8S ribosomal RNA, internal transcribed spacer 2, and large subunit ribosomal RNA". The stretch from base 1 to 120 matches the Rfam family "5.8S ribosomal RNA", at positions 35 to 154 of the family's 154-position model. The record is from RNAcentral.
GAUGAAGAACGCAGCGAAAUGCGAUAAGUAAUGUGAAUUGCAGAAUUCAGUGAAUCAUCGAAUCUUUGAACGCACAUUGCGCCCGCCAGUAUUCUGGCGGGCAUGCCUGUUCGAGCGUCAUUUCAACCAUCAAGCCCCCGGGCUUGUGUUGGGGACCUGCGGCUGCCGCAGGCCCUGAAAAGCAGUGGCGGGCUCGCUGUCACACCGAGCGUAGUAGAUUUUAUCUCGCUCUGGGCGUGCUGCGGGUUCCGGCCGUUAAACCACCCUUAUAACCCAAGGUUGACCUCGGAUCAGGUAGGAAGACCCGCUGAACUUAAGCAUAUCAAUAAGCGGAGGA